Molecule: long non-coding RNA, 229 nt
Filed under: Gossypium barbadense (sea-island cotton)
Lineage: Eukaryota; Viridiplantae; Streptophyta; Magnoliopsida; Malvales; Malvaceae
Description: long non-coding RNA (GBAR_LNC012689)
Source: RNAcentral
ACUACCAAGGCUCAUAUUCUUCCAUAAAAACUCAGAAAACAACACAUAUGCUUUCAUGACAAAACCCUAGACUCUUAAUUAUUUUGCAAAAUAGUCCCAUUAUUUGAAAGCUCAUGCUUUAGGGGUUCCAAAAAUGUAAAAAUUAUCAAGAAAGACAUUAAAAAUCACUUGCUAGCAUAAGAGUUUCUUUGCUGAAAAUUUCCAGCUUUUAAACCCUUUCUUUGCUGCC